Hippocampus zosterae (dwarf seahorse) is the source of this 1680-nucleotide long non-coding RNA. RefSeq lists it as uncharacterized. Lineage: Eukaryota; Metazoa; Chordata; Actinopteri; Syngnathiformes; Syngnathidae. The record is from RefSeq and is a predicted model, not a curated record. The transcript has 3 exons.
CAUCGCCCACAAAUCGUCUCCCCGGCGACAUCCAGCGAUGCCGGCAAAGAGGCUACAUUGCUUCGCAUGGCCGACGCCGGGCACACGUCAGCGAUUCGUUGGAAUCGUCUCGUAAUGACGACGGCGAAAACGAUGAAUUGGAGAGCGAUAUGGAUCCCGAUAUGUUGGACGAAUACGUGCCUUCGGACAUAACGGAAAGCAGCUGAGAGUCCUCGCCAGAGCCGCUGGAACGAGGAGAUUGUCCAACCAGAAGCCAAAACAUGACUCCUCGCUUUGGUGGUGGAAAGAAAGGUCGUGCAUCUGGACGUGGUGGGAUGAAUCGAUGUGGUGACAAACUGGAUGGAAGCCAAAAAACAUCUUCUCCACAGCUGCACUUUUGUUCAUAGUUAAAUAGUUUUGUUGUGCGCAAAUAAAUUAUUUUGCUACAAAAAACAUUUGUAAUGUUCUUUUGUAGGAGGAACACAUUAUUGAGGUAUUUGAGCUGUCACAAAAGAAAAAAAUAGUGUAAAACCUGAAAUGAUGCUUGAAAUGCAUGCUUUUACAAAAAGCUCAUUUUCUCUGGAUUUCUGCAGAAAAUCGGCCUUUUCCAUAAAACUUAGCAGUUUUCUAAUGCUGAUAGCCAAUGAACGGAGAAAGAGUUACAAACUUUUUUUCUGCUGAAAGAAGAGAGUAUCACCUUUCUUUUGACAGUUGACAGUUUGUAUGUAUAUAUAGCCAUAGAACAGAAAAUUCUGUGGGCCUUGCAAAUCAGUCGAAAUUCAGUAAAAUGUGAGGGAUUGAGGGGGUUGCUCCAGUGAAAAGGGGUGGUAUUCAGUGAGUUAAGAGAGGGGAGCCGGAGGGUCUGUUCAUACUACAGGGCAACAUACUCCUCAGCAUCCGUGGUAAGGUCUAUUUAGGGGUGCUGGAGAGGAGGGUUUGUCGGGAAGGUGAAUCUCUGAUUCAGGAGGAGCAGUGUGGUUUUCUUCCUGGCUAUGGUACCAACACCCUUGGCAGGCCCCUCGGGGAUGCAUCGGAGUGCACUCAACCAAUCUACAUGUACUUUAUGGACUUGGACAAGGCAUUUGACCAUGUCUUGUGGGGGGUGCUGUGGAAGUAUGGUGUACAGGGCACCUUAUUAGGGCUGUUCGAUCCCUGGUCAACUGGUGUCAGAGUUUGGGCUGCAUUGCCGGCAGUAAGUCGGAUUUGUUUCCUGAGGGGUGGACUCCACCAAGACUGCUCUUUGUCAGUGAUUCUGUUCAUAGUCUGGGCUUCUCCAGCAACUGCCCCUGUGACAUGACCUCGGAUAAGCAGGGGAGAGUGAAUGAAUGAAUAUCCUUCCUAUUCUGUUCUUUUCUGUUCCUAUUCCAUUCUCUGUUCUAGUAAUCUAGUUCAAUUGGGACUUUUUUUCCUGCUCUUUUAAUUUAAUGCAUGCAUGCACCACACUGUGCCUAAGGGGUCAAUGUCAACACACACUUGAGCAGUGGUUCUUAACCUGGGUUCGAUCGAACCCGGCGGGUUCGCUGAAUCGGUCUCAGAGGUUCGACGGAGCCUCUGCCAUGGAGGCUAAGACAUACCCGACUCAGCUUGUCAAUUAGUUAUGACACGCCUGCCUGGUCAUCACUGGCUGCAGAUAAUCACAUUUGUCCAAUCAGUGCUGCGGGAAAUUUAGUUAGCUCAGUAGUCACCAUGUGACUGUCGUGA